RNAcentral lists this long non-coding RNA (4865 nucleotides) under Sus scrofa (pig). RNAcentral describes it as "lncRNA (ENSSSCG00035065319.1)". Lineage: Eukaryota; Metazoa; Chordata; Mammalia; Artiodactyla; Suidae. The record is from RNAcentral.
UGUUCAUUCUGCACAGUGCCUAUCACUGCAUAGACCUAGGAGGGCUUCUAUCUGGGUGUAACCAUGUGACAUCGACAAAUAUUUAAGGAGAGGAUUAUAGAAAUCGCUUAUUGCAUUAAAUCAACUCAUUUUUAGAUAGUGAACACCAUAAGGUGCGUUCUAAAUGUCCUUAUUCUGUUUGCUAAUCAGGAUUCGUUAUAAGCUCCCAGAACAUAGAUAUAAGAUCAUAGUCCUUCAGCGCCCCCCAACACUAGACACUUUUUUACCCAUCAAUAACUGUUGACAAAUCGUCUGAAUUGGUGUUUCAAAUCUGAUAAGUCAUCCCCGGGGCAUUAACUCUGUAAAAUAAAAGCUUAUUUCUUAAGCUCUUUCUAGAAAUUGUUAUGAGUAUAUGAGUAAAAAUAAGCUGUUAGGGGUGCUCAUUUUAAGGUGACAUAUGUAACUGAAUUUAUGGUUUUAAUUCCUUCUAACUCAGAUUUUUCAAGAGGGCUUGAUAGAUUUAAUUUUGUUAUUUUAAAGAAGAAGAUGAAAUAGGUAGAUCAAAGUUCUUUUAAAUCUUUAAAUAUCUCUUGCCUUCUCCAAAGGCAAUUCUAGAACUCUCUAAUUCUGUAUAAUUAUGAUCUUAACUCUGUGACAGGGAACUGGCUAACAAAUUAGUUUAUAAAAUAUAUUUUAAUAUUCAAAAGGCAACUCACUUGCUUUUUACUAGCUCUUUCUUCAACUGAAUGUGUUUAUUAUUGUAGAACAAUCUUCAGGGAGUACUGUCUUAUUUGUAGCAAAAGUUUUUCUGAAGUUUUUUUAGUUAUAAACUACCUGAAAUCAAAGACUUGGAAGACGGUCACUUUUAAUCCAAUUAAAAUGGCCACACAGUUUCAUUUCCUUUUUCAAACAAAGUUUCAAAGUAGAAACCUCUAAAGGUCUUCUUGUACUGGCUUUAUCAUACAUAAAAGUGAUCUCAUCGUAUGCUAUUCUAAUGACUAGGGAUUGUGGAAAUUUCCAUAGAAAUGCAUUUAAUCUUAAAUUACAGAUACACAGAUAAAUAUUUGUAUUAUACAUAUUUAUGGACAUGAAAAAUUAGAGUUUAUGCUGUAAUCUCAUGAAUUAGAAUUUGACUAUUUGGAAUGAUCUAAUCACUAGAAAAAUUCCUGAUGCUGGACACUGGUAUUUGUAUUUAAUUUCCCCUGUUCCUUUGUAUUUCUGGAUCCUAUAAGGAUCUGGGCAUCUCCUAUAAACAGGGCUUGUACCUUUGUGCUGUCUUAACACUGGCUGUUCAAAAGAUCCGCAUAAGCAUGAAAAACAAUCUGGCAGCAACAGAGAAGAUAAGAAAAAUGUGUGUUGUGUUCAUCUGCCCGCGACUUUCUACUUCUCCCAGUUGUCUGGCCUCUGGGUAGUUUGGGUGAGGUUAAUGUUAGCCACUUUGGCACUGACUGUAUUAGUUCCAUCAGCAAAGCCCAUCUUCCUGGGUCAUAUAUGGAUAGGUGACUCAGUCCAGACCAAAGAAAAGUGAAAGGAUAGUUGAUGUGGGCUUUGGAAGAAGAUUCUUCUUUGUCCUGUUGGGACAGCUACUGGAAAAAAAUCCUCACUCUCUCUGGACAAAGAAAAGGAAACCCAGGGUCUCAACUGUGCCUGGAAGCCUGUAGUAACCUUAGGACAAAGAGUAGCCCAGGGAUGCCUAAGCAGAAGGAGAAAAGGCAUCCAUAAACUUGAUGGUAUCACCAAGCUGCAAACCCAACCAACCACAAAGCUUUGCUGGUCUCUGCACCUUCCUGUUAUUCUUUUCUCCAUUUUGUCAUUGAAAGCCCUCCGGGUGUCACAGUGACCACAGUGAUGCUUAAGCAACCGAUAGACAAAGGACAUUCACAUUCAGGAUUUCCUCUGACUCUCACCGAGUGUGAUGAUUAUCCCCAGUGUACAGUGGAAGAAAGAGAGACAGAAAAAAUUAAGGGACAUUCCUAAGGUCCACAUGGUGAAUUGGACUGUCCUUUGCAAGAUAUUUUGAAAGAAGAUAAAUAGAAGUCUUACAGGGCCUCUUUUUAUGUUUUACUUCUUUAAUUAAAAAAAUUUAUUGAGAUAGAAUUGACUUAUAACGUUGCAUAAGUUUAAGAUGGAUCUUGAGGGCAUUAUGCCAAGUGAGAGAAGUCAGGCAGAUAAGGACAAAUACUGUCUGAUAUCACUCAUAAGUAGCAUUGCAGGGUCCUCUCAUAUAUUCCUUCUUUUGGUCAUUCCUCCACAGGGUGUGUAACCAGGUAAGUCUCUAGGAAUGGCACCAAACCAGUGAUUGUUCUAGAUGGGGUUCUUUCGUAGCUACAUAUCCCUUAACCCACCUGCCAUGUAGAAGACUCCUAGUGCCAUAAAUUGACUCUGCUUGAGGAAUGAAUCUUCACAGACACAAUGAAACCUGAGAAGCAAAGACUGAGAAGUAAGAUUUUAUCUCAUUGGAAAGAUCUACAAGAAGGCAGAACAUGGGGAGCAGUAACCAAUAGUUCAUCACAUGAAAGAAGUGCUUGUCCUGUUCUUUCUGAGAUGGACAACCUCAUCUGGAAUGCAUUUAUGCUCAUUGCAGGCUUCCACCUCCUUUUUAGCAGAAUAUUCUUCCCAGCUCUGUUAGGACACCCUUCCACUCCCAGUGUUGCUACUGCUGGAAGUCUCAAAUCACACGAGUAAUGAGACACCCAGUGAUACAGUACUGUGUUAUAUCAAGGAACCUCCAGUCACUCAUGCGUCACACCUCAUUAAUUAGGUGCUAAUUGCGAAAGCUAUGUGAAAGUAGUUUUUGCCUUGCUCUGCGCCCUAACAACCUCAUCUCAGUUAAGAGACUCCCAUCAACAUCAAAGCCUCAGAGAAACAGGUCUAAUAUUGGCAAUGUUGAGGCUACAGAUUUUAGUCUCAAAGGAAAGAUGUGCAAAAGCUCGAGUUUUCCUAGCUGGGCUAAUGUCCUCAUUAUCUAUUCAACCUGCUCUCAAAAGGACAAAAUACAACAUGACACAAUUAUCUUUCCUACAAGGACUUGUAUUUUGAUGGUCGCUUAUUAAUCAGUUAUCCAAGAGGAAAAGUCAUAUCAUUUCAAAAAAAAAUGACAAAGAUAUUACUCAAAAGCAAAUUGGAUUUCUCCUAAGACAACUACUUUUAAAAUAUUCCUGCUUUUACAAUGACAGAGUAAGGAUCAGUUUCAUUAGGAUACUCAACUUUAAUAAAUCAAAUGUUAACUGCCUGAUUUUGUUCAAAACAAAUUAGUUCAUGUCCCUAAAAUUGAGGCAUGAACUCAUUUACUUGACAUGGCUCAGACAUGACUGAACAUAUUUACAAAAAUUCUCUAAAAUAAAUCUCCUUUGGAUAAGUAAUUGAUUGACAAAAUCACUAGAGAAUAAGAGACUUGAAAGAAACUGAAGUAUGAAAUGUAAACUUUGGAAAUUUCUUUUACUGGACUUUAAUUUUCUUUGGAAAACCAAUCUAAAUUUAGAUAAAUUGCCAAAGAUAUUUUGAAAUAUAACUUGCCUGAAAUAUAGGAAUCAUCAGUAAUCUCUUGUUACAUUAUGUAUCAAAUUAUUGAAUGCCACUAGGAGUUCAUAAUUCCUAUUUAAAUGGUGUGCUUGGAGCAGAAGGAGGAUCUCCUACAUUAAUGGUAAAAAUCAAUUAAAAACCCAUCUAUUGACCAAAAAUCAGUGUGACCCUACUGGAUUGUCUUUUCCCUUAAGGAAAGUGUCGUUUAAAAGAGACGAUGGUUGUAAUUUGGAAGUAGAGACAGUACAGAGUUUAGUGUGGCGUGGUCUUGUCUUAGGGACGCUUAGACCAGGGCCUUAUGGGGUUGUAGCGACAGGCUUGCAAAAGACAAGAGCUGGAAGUCGAAGGGUAAGAGUGAGAAGAACCCACUGGACCAUGAGAUUCCUCCCUUCCCUCACCUCAGAGAAUGAGCACCAGCCCCAGUGACUGUGCACCAAUGCGCUUCACCUUGGAUCUUGACUGCGGAGAUGCCAUGAUACAGAGCCCCUCAUACUGGGCAGCAGGAAUGUGGAUACAGAGACCCUCAGAGUGGGCAGCAGGCAUGUCCAGCCUCAGGGCAGCGACAGCAACAGUGCUGGGAAUGGGAAGCUCCGUCUGGUGGACAGCUCUGAUGUGGAGGACAGACACAGCUCCUGAGGGAGAGAAGGCUGACAAAAUCUGAUAGGGUGUUUGGGCUCCAGCCUGAACUGCAGAACCAUGCAGCCUCCGCAUGAAGCCAUGAAGGCAGGUCUAGGUGCACAAGUGAGGCAGAUGAAGCCCGGCAGGCAGCAAAAUGGCACACUCUUCCCAAGACAUGUCACUCUGAACUGGCAAGAUGUAUUGCCACCCCCUGUCUAAUGACCGAGGUGCUUGCUAGAACUGGUUUAUGGGCUUAAGGCAGAGCUGGCCGAUCGAAGGUCUUCAGGGACAUCCACUGAGCAAACCUAAAAAGAAAGAAUAUGGAUUGAUAGCCCCUGCGUAUAUGGAUUUUUAAUUUGGGAUUAUGUAGUUUCUUUGGGGAGGCUGUAAAAGUCCCUGGAGAUCUUCAUAAAUAAAAAGGAUACUCAUCAGUCAGAAAUCAGGGAGAGGAAAUCAAUCAUUUCUGGAGAUGUUUUGCCUCCUAAUGGUGCGCUUUCAAGUUUUCCAUGGAUGGCAUUUUCCAUCACUUUACUUUGGAAGGUGCACCUGUCAUGAGGUCAUCUCUCUAAGAGCAUAAAUCCCAGAGUAAAGACUUACUGUUGGUUCUCUCCCCUUCUUUUUGAAGCUACUGAAGACCCAUGACAUAAAAAAUCAAAAUGGAUUUUUAAAAGAUUGAGUCCAGCAAUUGUGUCACUGCCUGUUUUUUUCCUUCCAAAUUAGAGAAUGCUAUUGGAAAUCUCCUGAAG